Long non-coding RNA from Oreochromis aureus, 685 nucleotides. RefSeq lists it as uncharacterized. The record is from RefSeq and is a predicted model, not a curated record. Lineage: Eukaryota; Metazoa; Chordata; Actinopteri; Cichliformes; Cichlidae. The transcript is spliced from 4 exons.
AGCCAUGGCUGCCGAUUGGUGUUGAGUCAGUUAACAUUACGAACAUCUGGCUUUAUUAUUGCUAAAGCUAUAGGUUAUUAUAGCUUCAGCAAUAAUAACUUGAAGUGAUUUUCUGGUUGACUUGUUUAUGGACGCCCUUCCUUAAAGUCCCACCGCAGCAUUUCAGGUUCUGAGCGUGCUCUCAUGAAAAGGACUUUUUGACUCUUCUUUCAUGCAAAAUGGACCAAUGGAGGGCUGCCUACUCCCAUCACAGACCGAUCAGAUGAACAGGAGCUGUGCUGUGUUGCAGUCUGGAUUGAUCCAGGUGUUCCACCUCCUGACUUGAGUCCUCUUCCAUCUUGUGUCAAGCCAGUUGUUUCCAAGCUUGGUGUGAAAACUGAUAAAGCUCUAACAUGGACAAAAACAACAAAUGUGCGACUCUGUUGUUGGAGUGCAAAAUGUCUCUGCUGCAAUUCACGAGAGCAGUUCUGUUUAUAUCAGGACAAGGAAAGUAAACGGAAGCCUCUCCAGUGUUGCACGUCUCUGGAGAGCAACUAAACUUUCUUGACAGAAAAGUGGCCCGAAGACUGAAGAGUGGCAAGACCUCGUGAACUUUCAAUAUUUCCAGUAAGGGUUCAAACAUGUCUUUUUUUUUGCAACAUCUGCUGGAAGACAAACCAAUUUUGCAACUUUGAAUAUGAGCCUU